Molecule: small nucleolar RNA, 97 nt
Organism: Mustela putorius furo (domestic ferret)
Lineage: Eukaryota; Metazoa; Chordata; Mammalia; Carnivora; Mustelidae
Source: Ensembl
AUCCUUUUCAUAAGUGUGAUGACUGGGUGUUCACACUGUUGUGUGACAUGUGCCCCCCUCAGACGUUAUUACAACCUCAGCAAUUACCCAUCUGAUA